This 375-nucleotide ribosomal RNA is filed under the name uncultured eukaryote. Its description in RNAcentral is "partial 18S ribosomal RNA". It matches the Rfam family "Eukaryotic small subunit ribosomal RNA", at positions 592 to 976 of the family's 1831-position model. The record is from RNAcentral.
CAAUAGCGUAUAUUUAAGUUGUUGCAGUUAAAAAGCUCGUAGUUGGAUUUCGGUUAAGAGCGACCGGUCCGCCGUUUGGUGUGCACUGGUUGGUUUUAACUUCCUGUAGAGGACGUGCUCUGGGUUUAACGACCUGGACUCGGAGUCUACGUGGUUACUUUGAAAAAAUUAGAGUGUUCAAAGCGGGCUUACGCUUGAAUAUUUCAGCAUGGAAUAACACUAUAGGACUCCUGUCCUAUUUCGUUGGUCUCGGGACGGGAGUAAUGAUUAAGAGGAACAGUUGGGGGCAUUCGUAUUUCAUUGUCAGAGGUGAAAUUCUUGGAUUUAUGAAAGACGAACUUCUGCGAAAGCAUUUGCCAGGGAUGUUUUCAUUAA